This is a long non-coding RNA of Acinonyx jubatus (cheetah), 2265 nucleotides long. RefSeq lists it as uncharacterized. The record is from RefSeq and is a predicted model, not a curated record. NCBI's taxonomy places the organism in Eukaryota, Metazoa, Chordata, Mammalia, Carnivora, Felidae. The transcript is spliced from 3 exons.
CGUGCCUGUAAGGAUCGGGUGAAGGAAGAGGGCAUCUUCAUUACUUAGCUUGUGCAUCUGUGGACUGGGGACAGUUGGAUGUAGACCUCCCUUAGCAGCCCACUUGGCUACUGGAACCUCCCUGGGAAGUGGUUAUACCCCCAGCAGGGAACCUGCAGUUCCGAGCUCAGGCCACAAGGUGGCAGCAUGGGGGAAGAAAGCUGGUUCCCAACUCCCUGCUGAGGACGCCCAGGCUGGCCUGUGGGCAAGAGAAGUGUCCACCGUGGUCCUUCCAGAGUGGCUCAUUAUUAAACAUGAAAUGAGGCAGAAGCUUGUAAGCCCGAUAGCUGGGGAAGGGCAGCAAGGAGAGGCAGGUAUGACUUUCUAGAAAGUAAAUCUCUAAGCCUGUCAGUCCUUAGCCAUCAACCACCACAGAGGGGUGCGUGUGUGUGUGUGUGUGUGUGUGUGUGUGUGUGUGUGAAUGUACGAGUGUCUAUGUGUCUAUAUGUGAAUGUGUGGGUAUGUAUGUGUGUUGUGUGUGUGAGGGUGGCUGGUGACUUUGUAUACGUGAGUGUGGGGAUGGGGGAAGGGGGAAGCAGCAGGCUCAGGUGUCUGUCGCCAGCAAGGCUGGGAGGAAACCAUAAACCUUUAUCAGCAAGCCCUUCACCUGGGUUAAGAAGGGCAGAGUGCAAAGUUCACAUAGAUAGUAGCCACUGGGAGGAGCGAAGCAUGACGCUGGUGCUGGAGAGUCGGGGUGGCUCUCCAGUGGGACAGGCAGGGCCGAGGACACUAAGUUCCACUUAGCCCCAGGGUUAAGAAUGGAUUCUGGGGGCACCUGGGUGGCUCAGUCGUUAAGCGUCUUGAUCUCAGCUCAGUCAUGAUCUCACGGUUCGUGGGUUCAAGUCCCCAUGUCAGGCUCUGUGCUGACAGUGUGGAGGCUGCUUGGGAUCCUCGCUCUCUCACUCACUCAGUCUCCCUCUCUCUCUCUCUCUCUCUCCCUCUGCCCCUCCCAUGCACACACUCUCUCUCAUAAACAAAUAACUUAAAAAAAAAAAAAUGAAUGGACUCUGGGCCCAGCAGAGCCAGGUUCGAACCAGCUCAGCUAUUUUCAAGUGGGGCAGGUGCUUCCUGGACUUCCUUUUCUCCACCUGUAAAAUGGCAGAAAUAAUCAGUCCUGCCUUCCUGGCUGCGUGUGAGGAUUCAGAGAUAUGCCAUGCACUUAGGAGGCCUAGUGUGUGGUGAGUGUGUGUCUGUUGCUUGUGGAGAAAACAUGAAAUCACGCUAUUCAAGAAGGCCCCCCCCUUUUUUUUUAAUGUUUACUUUUUUAGAGAGAGAGAGUGUGAGCAGGGGAGGGGCAGAGAGAGAGGGAGACACAGCAUCGGAUUCAGGCUCCAGGCUCCGAGCUGCCAGCACAGAGCCCGAUGCAGGGCUCGAACUCAGGGACCGUGAGAUCAUGACCUGAGCUGAAGUGGGACGCUCAACUGACUGAGCCACCCAGGCGCCCCAAGAAGGCCCUUGUGUAGCCUGGACCACACCUGCCACUUGUAAGACAGGACCUUUCUAAUGGUGGAAUGGGUCUUGCUGCAAAGUGGACUGGGUGGAGAGCAUCUGGUGUCAUUGGGAUCACUUUGAAACUACCGCCUCACAUUGGGAGCUGGCUUGAGUCAACUGGUCACCAUGGAAUUUCUUUUUUUAGUGCGUAAACAGCCAAGUUACAGGCAGCUGUUGCCCCGUCCGGGGUGGAAAGACGCCUGUUGAUGUGGAGCUGCCUGGCUCAUAUUUCUUAGGCAAACAGAUGCCAUGUCUCUCAACUCACCAAACAGGAAGCCCAGAAACUGUGGUUUGGAGACCACACGUCUAGUUAUGUCUCGUUAUUCAGGGGGGCUUCACCUGGGGAGCCCUCUCUGAAUGUCAAAGCUACAAGAUAAAGGACACAAAUGGGAGCUGGGGUGCUUCUUCUUCUUAGGGGCCACCGCAGGAGGCGGUGAGCGCUAAGUGCCAGGUCAGUGAGGAAACUCUGUUUUGGGGCCAAAGCAUAAAAAACCCCCAGCCACAAACCACUGAGCCUUGAGUGAAUGCUUGUUCCGUGCAGGUUCUGAGCCCAGGGAGGUCCUCUGAGGGGAGAGGAGGCAGGGAGCUGGAAAUUCGAAGUAGGAGGAAGAAUUAUGCUGGAUGGGGUAAGGCCCUUCAAGAGGUGGGAACAGCAUGAGCAAAGUCAUGGAGGUGGGAACGUAUACGUGAGGAAGAGUUUGGUUGGAACAGAGUUUACAACAAUAAAUAAAUCCA